Transfer RNA from Felis catus (domestic cat), 73 nucleotides. It matches the Rfam family "tRNA". From Rfam's summary of the family: Transfer RNA (tRNA) molecules are approximately 80 nucleotides in length. The record is from Rfam. NCBI's taxonomy places the organism in Eukaryota, Metazoa, Chordata, Mammalia, Carnivora, Felidae.
GCCUGGCUGGCUCACUUGGUAGAGCUUGUGACUCUUGAUCUCAGGGUUGUGAGUUCAAGCCCCACAUGGGGUG